Molecule: unclassified non-coding RNA, 210 nt
Filed under: uncultured Serendipita
Lineage: Eukaryota; Fungi; Basidiomycota; Agaricomycetes; Sebacinales
Description: sequence contains ITS2
Source: RNAcentral
UAAUCUCACUACGAUCGACUUUGGUCUUUCUGUAUGUGGACUUGGAUGCUGCCGUGGUUAAUCAACGGCUCAUCUGAAAUGCUUCAGUGUACCCCACUUUGCGGCGUAUUCGGUGUGAUACAUCUUCACCGGAGUUGAUCCUUUUGGGUCGCGUCUGUAAUGGUGUGGCUCUAUGCUUCCAACCGUCUACCAGGUGGACAAUCUCUGACA